CCUGAUGCAGCCAUGCCGCGUGUGUGAAGAAGGCCUUCGGGUUGUAAAGCACUUUCAGUCGUGAGGAAGGUAGUGUAGUUAAUAGCUGCAUUAUUUGACGUUAGCGACAGAAGAAGCACCGGCUAACUCCGUGCCAGCAGCCGCGGUAAUACGGAGGGUGCGAGCGUUAAUCGGAAUUACUGGGCGUAAAGCGCAUGCAGGUGGUUUGUUAAGUCAGAUGUGAAAGCCCGGGGCUCAACCUCGGAAUUGCAUUUGAAACUGGCAGACUAGAGUACUGUAGAGGGGGGUAGAAUUUCAGGUGUAGCGGUGAAAUGCGUAGAGAUCUGAAGGAAUACCGGUGGCGAAGGCGGCCCCCUGGACAGAUACUGACACUCAGAUGCGAAAGCGUGGGGAGCAAACAGGAUUAGAUACCCUGGUAGUCCACGCCGUAAACGAUGUCUACUUGGAGGUUGUGGCCUUGAGCCGUGGCUUUCGGAGCUAACGCGUUAAGUAGACCGCCUGGGGAGUACGGUCGCAAGAUUAAAACUCAAAUGAAUUGACGGGGGCCCGCACAAGCGGUGGAGCAUGUGGUUUAAUUCGAUGCAACGCGAAGAACCUUACCUACUCUUGACAUCCAGAGAACUUUCCAGAGAUGAAUUGGUGCCUUCGGGAACUCUGAGACAGGUGCUGCAUGGCUGUCGUCAGCUCGUGUUGUGAAAUGUUGGGUUAAGUCCCGCAACGAGCGCAACCCUUAUCCUUGUUUGCCAGCGAGUAAUGUCGGGAACUCCAGGGAGACUGCCGGUGAUAAACCGGAGGAA
Molecule: ribosomal RNA, 797 nt
Filed under: Vibrio harveyi
Lineage: Bacteria; Pseudomonadati; Pseudomonadota; Gammaproteobacteria; Vibrionales; Vibrionaceae
Description: bacterial SSU rRNA
Rfam family: Bacterial small subunit ribosomal RNA
Source: RNAcentral